CGCGAUGUGUGUGGNUGGGCUUCGUCCUCCUGGACACCCUCCAAAACCUAGUGGCUAAUACACGGACACCCGAAGGUCUGCUACGUGCAUGCGAGCUGCCGCCGUCGGCCUUGCGCCGCGGCGGGCAAUUCUCGGGCGGUGGAUCGCAACCAGCCGCCUGGUAAGACCAGCGCCUGGAAUUGAACGGCAGCGUGCUACGUGGCUGACUCAGGCUGGCCCAGCCCCCCUACCCUCAAAGCCGGGGGGGCUCUCCGAUGGUCACUGGCAGUGUCGAGUGGGCGUCAAACCCCACCAUGGCUGCAUGAUCGCACAGAGCUUCUGACCUAUCAGCUUCGUUGGUGGUGCAGCGGACCACCAUGGCGGUGACGGGUGACGGAGAAUCAGGGUUCGAUUCCGGAGAGGGAGCCUGAGAGACGGCUACCACUGCUAAGGCGGGCAGCAGGCACGCAAAUUGCCCCAUGCAGAUCCCCAUGUGAGGCAGCGACGAACCGCAGCAAUCCCGCCUGUCCUCAGUGACGAGCGGGACUUGCAAUGGAUGCAAUCCAAACACAGUGAUGAGUAUCAACUGGAGGCAGUCUGGUGCCAGCAGCUGCGGUAAUUCCAGCUCCAAGGGCGUAUACUAACAUUGCUGNUGUUAAAACGCUUGUAGUCCGAUGCUGGGUUGCAGGUCCGCUGGGUGGCAGUCUGGUGGUCGCACGGCCGCGCUCCGUCGAAGGGGGGCUGUGGGGAUGCGGGGAGGCCUCGGUCGCCCCCUUCCUCGCAUGCCACCCCUUCCCUGGGUCGCGUCGGGCGUCCCACCGGCUGGUACAACCCCCAGCGGUAUGACCCUGCGCCCGUCUUACUACGGCGGUGCGAACUGCUCCUGCUCCAAGCCUCCUUCAGUGGAGGUCGAUGCGGUUGUAUACCCAAGGCUUGUGUGUUGACAUUGCGAGGGGCGCGGCCCCGUGCCACGCAGACCAUGCCCUCGGUCCACCACCGGAGCCCACUGCCUCUGCCACCCUGGAAAACUCAGUGUGCCCAACGCAGCCCAAUCGCGGCUGAAUGUCCGUCCAUGGAAUGUCAAAGCAUCGACCGGAUGUUGGCUUAUGGAGUUGUGCUGGCCUUGGCGCCCAUCUCGGAGAGCGUGGCCCAGUCCCCGCCCCUGCGGAGGGCAUUGCUGCCGUCUGGCGGCGGUGUCCCACCCGUGAGGUCGGUGGGCUGUGUCGAUCGUCCACGAUGGGACAGCUCGGGGUGAAAGGUAUUGCAACGCCAGAGGUGAAAUUCUUAGACCGCUGCAAGACCACCGGCAGCGAAGGCGUUCUGCAAGUGCUCGUUCGUCGAUCAAGAAUGUGAGUGCGGGGAGCGAAGAUGAUCAGACACCGUCGUAGUCCGCUACUGUAAACGGUACCAGCUCGGUGCCGAUGGGGCAAGUACAACGGNNCCCACCGGCGCCAGCCCCCCUACAACGAGAAAUCCAAGCCCAUGGUCAAGGGAG
Molecule: ribosomal RNA, 1474 nt
Filed under: Lepocinclis caudata
Lineage: Eukaryota; Euglenozoa; Euglenophyceae; Euglenales; Phacaceae
Description: SSU rRNA
Rfam family: Eukaryotic small subunit ribosomal RNA
Source: RNAcentral